GUCUCUUUGGCAGCACAUAUACUAAAAUUAAAAUGAUACAGAGAAUAUUAGCAUGGCCCCUGCACAAGAAUGACAUGCAGAUUUGUGAAGUGUUCCAUUAUGUG
Mus pahari (shrew mouse) is the source of this 104-nucleotide small nuclear RNA. Lineage: Eukaryota; Metazoa; Chordata; Mammalia; Rodentia; Muridae. The record is from RefSeq and is a predicted model, not a curated record.